GAUGAAGAACGCAGCGAAAUGCGAUAAGUAAUGUGAAUUGCAGAAUCCAGUGAAUCAUCGAAUCUUUGAACGCACAUUGCGCCCGCCAGCAUUCUGGCGGGCAUGCCUGUUCGAGCGUCAUUUCAACCCUCGACCUCCCUUUGGGGAAGUCGGCGUUGGGGACCGGCAGCACACCGCCGGCCCUGAAAUGGAGUGGCGGCCCGUCCGCGGCGACCUCUGCGUAGUAAUCCAACUCGCUCCGGAACCCCGACGCGGCCACGCCGUAAAACACCCAACUUCUGAACGUUGACCUCGAAUCAGGUAGGACUACCCGCUGAACUUAAGCAUAUCAAUAAGCGGAGGA
This 343-nucleotide unclassified non-coding RNA is filed under the name soil metagenome. RNAcentral's name for it is "partial contains 5.8S ribosomal RNA, internal transcribed spacer 2, and large subunit ribosomal RNA". The stretch from base 1 to 120 matches the Rfam family "5.8S ribosomal RNA", at positions 35 to 154 of the family's 154-position model. The record is from RNAcentral.